UAUUGGUCAAUGGGCGGAAGCCUGAACCAGCCAUCCCGCGUGAAGGAAGAAGGCCUUAUGGGUUGUAAACUUCUUUUCUGUUUGAAGAAUAAGCUUGUCGAGACAAGUGAUGCCGGUAGGACAGGAAUAAGCAUCGGCUAACUCCGUGCCAGCAGCCGCGGUAAUACGGAGGAUGCAAGCGUUAUCCGGAUUUAUUGGGUUUAAAGGGUGCGCAGGUGGUUUAAUAAGUCAGUGGUGAAAGUCUGCCGCUUAACGGUAGGAUUGCCAUUGAUACUGUUGGACUUGAAUAUGGAUGAGGUAGGCGAAAUGUGUAGUGUAGCGGUGAAAUGCUUAGAUAUUACACAGAACACCGAUUGCGAAGGCAGCUUACUAAUCCAUGAUUGACGCUGAGGCACGAAAGCGUGGGGAUCAAACAG
This 416-nucleotide ribosomal RNA is filed under the name uncultured bacterium. RNAcentral describes it as "bacterial SSU rRNA". It matches the Rfam family "Bacterial small subunit ribosomal RNA", at positions 362 to 775 of the family's 1533-position model. The record is from RNAcentral.